Molecule: ribosomal RNA, 795 nt
Filed under: Angustibacter sp.
Lineage: Bacteria; Bacillati; Actinomycetota; Actinomycetes; Kineosporiales; Kineosporiaceae
Description: bacterial SSU rRNA
Rfam family: Bacterial small subunit ribosomal RNA
Source: RNAcentral
UGCAGUCGAACGGUGACGUCGGAGCUUGCUCCGGCUGAUCAGUGGCGAACGGGUGAGUAACACGUGAGCAACCUGCCCUUGGCUCUGGGAUAACCUCGGGAAACCGAAGCUAAUACCGGAUACGACGCAGACAGGCAUCUGUACUGCGUGGAAAGUUCUUCGGCCAAGGAUGGGCUCGCGGCCUAUCAGCUUGUUGGUGGGGUAACGGCCUACCAAGGCGACGACGGGUAGCCGGCCUGAGAGGGCGACCGGCCACACUGGGACUGAGACACGGCCCAGACUCCUACGGGAGGCAGCAGUGGGGAAUAUUGCGCAAUGGGCGAAAGCCUGACGCAGCGACGCCGCGUGAGGGAUGAAGGCCUUCGGGUUGUAAACCUCUUUCAGCAGGGAAGAAGCGAAAGUGACGGUACCUGCAGAAGAAGCACCGGCUAACUACGUGCCAGCAGCCGCGGUAAUACGUAGGGUGCAAGCGUUGUCCGGAAUUAUUGGGCGUAAAGAGCUCGUAGGCGGUCUGUCGCGUCUGCUGUGAAAACCCAGGGCUUAACCCUGGGCCUGCAGUGGGUACGGGCAGACUAGAGUGCGGUAGGGGAGAUCGGAAUUCCUGGUGUAGCGGUGAAAUGCGCAGAUAUCAGGAGGAACACCGGUGGCGAAGGCGGAUCUCUGGGCCGUAACUGACGCUGAGGAGCGAAAGCAUGGGGAGCGAACAGGAUUAGAUACCCUGGUAGUCCAUGCCGUAAACGUUGGGCGCUAGGUGUGGGGCUCAUUCCACGAGUUCUGUGCCGCAGCAAACGCAUU